Molecule: ribosomal RNA, 447 nt
Filed under: uncultured bacterium
Lineage: Bacteria
Description: bacterial SSU rRNA
Rfam family: Bacterial small subunit ribosomal RNA
Source: RNAcentral
GGCCAGACUCCUACGGGAGGCAGCAGUGGGGAAUAUUGCACAAUGGGGGAAACCCUGAUGCAGCAACGCCGCGUGAGUGAAGAAGUAUUUCGGUAUGUAAAGCUCUAUCAGCAGGGAAGAAAAUGACGAUACCUGACUAAGAAGCCCCGGCUAACUACGUGCCAGCAGCCGCGGUAAUACGUAGGGGGCAAGCGUUAUCCGGAUUUACUGGGUGUAAAGGGAGCGUAGACGGCAUGGCAAGUCAGAUGUGAAAGCCCGGGGCUCAACCCCGGGACUGCAUUUGAAACUGUCAGGCUGGAGUGCAGGAGAGGUAAGUGGAAUUCCUAGUGUAGCGGUGAAAUGCGUAGAUAUUAGGAGGAACACCAGUGGCGAAGGCGGCUUACUGGACUGUAACUGACGUUGAGGCUCGAAAGCGUGGGGAGCAAACAGGAUUAGAUACCCCAGUAC